RNAcentral lists this small RNA (148 nucleotides) under Pongo abelii (Sumatran orangutan). Its description in RNAcentral is "Metazoan signal recognition particle RNA (ENSPPYG00000030375.1)". The record is from Rfam by way of RNAcentral. Lineage: Eukaryota; Metazoa; Chordata; Mammalia; Primates; Hominidae.
GCUGGGCAUGGUGGCACAUGCCUGUAGUUCUAGCCGCUUGGGAGGCUGAGUCAGGAGGGUUGCUUGAGCCCAGGAGUUUGAGGUUGUGGUGAGCUAUGAUAGAGCCAUUGCACUUCAGCCUGGGCAAUAGAGUGAGACCCUGACUCAA